GUGCCAGCAGCCGCGGUAAUACCGGCAGCCCGAGUGAUGGCCGAUCUUAUUGGGCCUAAAGCGUCCGUAGCUGGCCGCGCAAGUUCGUCGGGAAAUCCACUCGCUCAACGAGUGGGCGUCCGGCGAAAACUGCGCGGCUUGGGACCGGAAGACUCAAGGGGUACGUCCGGGGUAGGAGUGAAAUCCCGUAAUCCUGGACGGACCACCGAUGGCGAAAGCACCUCGGAAGGACGGAUCCGACAGUGAGGGACGAAAGCUAGGGUCUCGAACCGGAUUAGAAACCCGUGUAGUCC
This 293-nucleotide ribosomal RNA is filed under the name uncultured bacterium. RNAcentral describes it as "partial 16S ribosomal RNA". It matches the Rfam family "Archaeal small subunit ribosomal RNA", at positions 455 to 747 of the family's 1478-position model. The record is from RNAcentral.